UUAAAGGGCCAGCUUGGGCCCAGUGGACAAAGGUGAGAUGCCUUGACCAGGUGGAACAUCCUCUUCUUUGCCUCCUGAGAUUAAAAGGGACAUCUUUGCUGUUACAAGCUGUGAAAGGCUGGGAGGUGGGGUUGAAGGACAGGUAAGCGGUGGGAUUUGUCUAGUUCUGUGCUUUCUGGGACCCAGAAACAGCAAGGUGUGGGAAGUGACCACCUGGCAGUGGUGAGGGCCUGUGAGGUGCCCUGCUCCUGCCCCCUCCCUAUGUGAGGUAACCUUGGGGAGACAGGUAUCUGCAGAGGGUGGAGCAGAAUGUGCCUGUGUCAUUCUCCUAGGGCUGCCUAGCAAAGUGCCACCAACUGGGUAGCUUAGACACACAGAGACUUGUGACCUCAGACUCUGAAGUGCAGAGCUCUGGAAUUGAGGUGUCGGCCGCAUUCCCCGGGAUGGUCUCCCUGCAGCUGCUCUAGUUUCCUGGGUUUGGCAGCAGAGCUCCAGACUCCAAAGGGUGUGUUUCCUGGGUCUGAUUCCUCCUGUUUAUAAGACACAAGGCUAUGCAGAUUUUUUUUCUAUACAUUUUACAACUUUGCACUUGAAAAUUUGACUUUAUGGAUUAUUUUGAAUAGCUUUUUGGGUGAGCCAUAAAGAUUGCGUUCGAGUUUCACGUGGUUCAUUUUUAUUUUCCCAACUGUUCUGCAGCCAUUUGUGGUUACAGAUUUGUUUUCUCUCCAUCGAGUGGCCUUUGUGCCUUUGAGAGGACCACUUGACUGGUUUUACAUGGGUCUUUCUGUGUAGAGAAUCAGAAGUAACUGCGUUACUAUUACUGCAACAUUUGGCAUAGUCGGCAGGACUUGCAUUUUCAAAUGCUAAUGUUUCCAAUAAUACCUUUGCUAUUUGAUCUUGACCCAUUGCCCUCAUUACAAAAGUACGCGGCCUUGCAAGAAAAUCAGUGUAAGAUUCAGUAGCCCCUUGUAUAGUUUUAGUAAGGAAGGUUGUGCCUGACCAGUGGGUAUCACACAUCUUUAAGCUCUUAAACCUGUCGAACUUGUUGAAGAUCCUGAUCUGUAUAUUGAGCCUGUCUCUAAAGGCACAGUAAUUACCCUCCUCCAUUAACUUAUCCUCCAUAGGUCCCUGGGGAUUUUGAAGGUUUUGUUGUCUAGUUAUAGGAAACAAAUGUGGUGGAUCAACAAAAGAACCAGGAGGAGCUGCAAGAUCAUCAUCAUCAUGUAUCAUAGUAAGAGGAAAUGAAAAAUGUUGUUGUUCUCUACCCACAUCAGCUCUAUACUCUGUCAUUGGAAAGAGAGAAGCAUUAGAAGGAGUAGUAGGUUUAAGAGAGGACCUUUGCUUUUUUAAUCUCAUUUUAUCCACAAAGGCCUCCAUAAUUUCUUUCAUAUUGGAGUCACUAUCUGAACUUUUUGAAUCUUCCUCAUCGCCCAGAUCUGAUUUAGGAGAGUCAUCUAUAGUAUCACAAAUAUCUUCCUUGGGCUCCGUUUUGUUAACCUUAUUAUCAGAUUCUGAUGUAUAAACUUGUCUUUUACAAAGAGAGCCCUUUUCAUUAUUGCUUUCUAAUAAUUGCAAUGCCUGAGUAAUAGUGCCACACAAUGUCCAAAUCUUCAAAGAAAUAACAUUCCCAGCCUGAUGCUGCUUAUGGAGCUCUUUCUGAACCAAUUUCCAUUCCCCUAAAUUUAACUGGACCUUAGUUUGAUACUGGAACCAGUGACAAUGACAUUCUAUAAUUUUAAAUAACUCCUUGAGUCUCUUAUGAGAUGUUUUCGCACCUAUGGAAUAUAAUAAUCCUUGUAGUAACUCCACAUAUUGUUCCUUUAAGGACUGGGAGUUUCCCAUGUUAGUUCUGAAAGUCCCCCUAAAGUCUCUUUCAACCCGGGGCGAUACCUUUCGAUAUUUUGUUAAUCCCAAAAGUCCCCCUUUCGUUUUGUUAACCCGGGGUAUGUUGAGCUCUGCUCUUUGUUAAGAACAGAUAAUAAAAUUUUUCUUAGCGCCCUCCUAGCCCACUUGGCAGAACAUCCCAUCCUUGUCGCCAAUGGGUCAAGAUCAAGUAGCAAAGGUAUUAUUGGAAACAUGUAUGUGGAAUGUCAUACUUUUGUAAAAAUGAAUGUAAUUUUUGUGAGGUAUAUGCAGGUGCAUUGUCAGUUUUAAGUUCCUUAGGAAUUCCCAUGAUAGCAAAACAAGAUAAUAAAUGAGAAAUGAUUGCAUCAGCUUUUUUUUUUUUAAGAUAAACUGUGGCCCAUAGAAAAUGAGUAUGAGUCUCAAUAGUAUGAUGUACAUACCUUAGUUGUCCAAAUGACUGAAUUAUAACAACAUCCAUUUGUUAAAGGGCAAUAGGAUGGAGUCCCCUUGGAUUAACACCAGGAGGACAGUAAGGAAUAUUAAAAGGAGCACAUGAUGAACCGUUAUUUUGUAUUUUUUAUAAAGUCCUUUAGUGUUUGUAUGAUGUAAAGCAUGUUCUAGAUGAGCCUUUUGUAAGGGGAAUAAUAGUUGAUCAAUAUUCUGAUUUUUUUUUUUUAGUUAAUUGUCCUGGGAGUGUAGAAUGUGCUCUAAUAUGAGUAAAAUAUACUGAAAUUUGGCCUACUAUUUUUGUUGUUAUUUUUACAUGUAGUGAGAUAGGACAUAGAGUCUUAUCUUAGGUAAGUAGGGCUCUUUAUAAAUUUUAAGUAAACUGUUGUAGUUUUAAAGUUUGUUUUUGUUUUUUUAAAAUAUUAUAUUAUAAAUUUUAUAUAAAUAAUUGUUUGUUUAUUUGAGUAAAAACUAACACAUGUUAUUUCAUGUUUCAUCUAAAACAUGAAAUAAAGAAAGGCUGAAAGCCUUUAGCUUUUUUUAGAAAAAUAGAAAAAUGUUCUUGUGUUUUAUAAUAUUAACCUUUAUGUAGAUAAGGCUCUCAUUAACUUAAAAAAUACAUUUAAAUUGUACCUCAGUGUAAAAAGUAACAUAAAACUCUAUAUAUCUUAUUGAUAAUUGGCCCAGUUAUAGAACAUUAAAUGAUAUAAAUAAAUCUCCAAUAUGUUAUUUUUAUGAGCCUAAAAUUACCAUGCAACCUUUUGGAGAACACCAGCUUGAUAUAAUUUUUUUUAAAGCUUUUAUCUUAAUGACUUAUAUACCUGGAAAAUAUGAACACAUUUAAUAUACAAAGAAGAGUAAUAGUACCAUAAUUACUAUUGAUGUUUUUAUAUUAAUUAAGUUUAGCUCUNACUUGCUUAAACCUAUAUAGCCAACAUACAUAGACCUUCUUUAUCACUUGCUUAAACCUAUAUAGCCAACAUACAUAGACCUUCUUUAUCACUUGCUUAAACCUAUAUAGCCAACAUACAUAGACCUUCUUUAUCACUUGCUUAAACCUAUAUAGCCAACAUACAUAGACCUUCUUUAUCACUUGCUUAAACCUAUAUAGCCAACAUACAUAGACCUUCUUUAUCAUUUGCUUAAACCCUUUUAUUUACUCACUUCUAGGAACACAUUUUUUUUUUAUUAAAUCCAUAACUAGAACCUUCUAAUUUUUUUAACCUCUUCUUUAUUUACACCUUGAAAUAAUCCUUGUAAAUUUUUGAAUUUAAGUAAAUUAUUCCAUUUUAAUAAGAGAUAUUUUGUUAUUUGUAGUACACAAUUAAUCACAUUUGUUUACCAUACUAUGAAAAUAUAGUGUCUAAAUAUUAGGGAUGAUAAAGUAACCAUUUAUUUAUUUAUUUUUAUUAUUUAUCAACUUAAAAAAUUAUUAAUAAUGUUAUGUAAUUUAAGGAGUUAAAAGUAUUUAAUGGUAUAUUUAACAUUUAGCAUAUUAACCUUGUAAAUUAACCCGAUAUUUAACAAAAAUACUCAUAAACAAGUAAUCUUAUGUCUAAUUAAUUUACUUAUUUUAUCAAAACAUUAGACAAGUAUAAUGAACAGUCUUAGCCAUUUGUUGUUGUUGUUGUUGAAGAAAAGUCCUAGAAUCAGAGCAUAUCAGUCAUUAACAUGUUAAAGACAUCUUAUUUUUAUCUGUUUACCCAAUUUAAAUUGAACCAUUUAAAUCAGUGAAUUACAAAUAUUUGAAUCUAUUUUUUUUAAAAUUUUUUAUGAGCACUCUUUACAUAUAUAUCAAUCUUUAUAUCAUGUACAUGAUAUAUGGACAUACGCACAAACAGACAUACAACAUAUAAUACAAAUGUGCACACAUAACACAAUAAAGGCCUUGUAGCUAUUUUAGGUGAAAUUUCCAUUGUAAUGUUUAAAUAUUUCAUAGUUGAUCAAAAAUAGAACUGAUCAGAAAAACAUUAACUUAGGUCUGUAGGAUCAAAAUUAUGAGCUCAAAAAAUACAGAAUCUAGGAAAAAGCAAGAGUCCUAGAAAAAAUGACCAGCCGGUAAUUAGAAAGUAUCACAAAAAUUAUUUAUUUUAUUUUAUUUAUUUAUUUAUUUUUUACAAUCCCUUUUAAAAUGACCUGCUUUUCCACAAUUGAAACAAGUUCCUGAUUUAUUGGGUUUAAGGGCUCCAGCCAUGGCUGCAGCAAAAACAGAAGCUUUGAUGUUCAAUUCCUCCCACUCCAGCACAAGCUUUCACAUAUUCACUCAAUGAGGCUUUUUGCCCUUUUAAUGGCUCCAAAAUAUGCUUACAUUCAGGAUUUGCAUUUUCAAAUGCUAAUGUUUCCAAUAAUACCUUUGCUAUUUGAUCUUGACCCAUUGCCCUCAUUACAAAAGUACGCGGCCUUGCAAGAAAAUCAGUGUAAGGUUCAGUAGCCCCUUGUAUAGUUUUAGUAAAGGAAGGUUGUGCCUGACCAGUGGGUAUCACACAUCUCUAAGCUCUUAAACCUGUCAAACUUGUUGAAGAUCUGGAUCUGUAUAUUGAGCCUGUCUCUAAAGGCACGGUAAUUGAUGUAGAGAAUCAGAUGUAACUGCAUUACUAUUACUGCAACAUUUGGCGUAGUCGGCAGGAUUUGCAUUUUCAAAUGCUAAUGUGUUGCAGUAAUAGUAACGCAGUUACAUCUGAUUCUCUACAUUUCUGGGCUCAUUCUUCUGUUCCUUUUGUCUAUUUCCAAUGCCUUUCCCACUGCCACACUCUGGGAUCACUGAAGCUUUAUGAUAAGUGCUGGAACCAGAUGUGCAGAGUCUUGAACUAUUUUUAAAAUAUCUUUAUUUUGUUUGUUUAUUUUUAUGUGGUGCUGAGGAUCCAACCCAGUGCUUCACAUGUGCGAGGCAAGUGCUCUGCCACUGAGCCACAUUCCCAGCCCCCUUUUGAGCUAUUUUUGAUCAUUCCUUUGCCAUAUCUUCUAGCUCAGCAUUUGCAGGUAUCUUCUGUGGUGCUGUGAUUGGGAUUCUGCUGCAUCUAAAGAUCAAAUGAGAAAGAAGUAUCUUCCCAACAUUAAUGGUUGAAUUGAUUCCGAGCAAAGAAAAUCACCGCACUUAUUUAUGUUUCUUUUCAUUCCUUUCAACCAUGUUCAAAGUUCUCUGAAUGCAUAUUUGUAUAUGUGUUGUCAGAGUAACCCUUCAGUAUUUCAGGAGAGCUAUUUUUUUUUUAAAAAUUCAAAUUCCAGUAAUUCCCGUGUGGCCUACAUAUAGCACACCAGUUUCCUCUUGUCCCUUAGCCAUCUGCUUUCCCUCUUGAUAUUUCCAUAUGACUUGGGCUGUUUUCUGUUGCUGUAUCUGCUCAACUGAGGCUGAGUCAUUCAUUAAGAAGCCAUUUUUAGUGCUGGGGAUGUAGCUUAGUUGGUGGAGUGCUUGUCUCACAUGCACAAAGCCCUGGGUUCAAUCCCCAGCACCAAAAGAAAAAAAAAAAAAGCUAUUUUUAAUUUAAGGUGUGUAGAGAGUCCCAGGUCAGGGGCUGCAUCUGUUGAAGGCCUCUUCUGGAGGGGACUCUGCCAUAUCCUGAGGCACGGCAUGAAGAGACCAGCUGGCUUUUGUAGCAAAUCUGUUCCCUUGACAACUCACUGAUCCACUAAUUAAUUAAAUAAGUAAUGUUUGUGGUGGUGGGGAUUGGACCCCAGGUCGUGUGCAUGUGAAAAAGCACUCUACCCACUGAGCCUUCGAUCCAUUCAUUUACGAAUGGAUAAAUCACUCAUGAGGGCCGAGUGCUCAGGCCAGUCAGUCCUCAGAGUUCCCCUUACUGCUCCCACAUCACAUCAUAUGAAUUCUGGAUGGCAAAAUUCAAACCAUAGCACCAUCAAAGACAAUCCAGGAACAGAAUUCACUUGUGAUAUUUUUCCCCAUGUUUUCUUUAUUUUCAUAUCAAUUCCUUCUCAUUAAAUACCUGCCUAUUGGCCCCGUCCAGCAAGUGUCCUCCACUACAAAGUCCCAGAGAUGAGUCAGCUGGUCCCUGAUAAUAGAAGGCAACCAAAUGACGACAUGAAUUUAUAUGUUCAGAGGACAGAGGAACGUCUCUUCUUGAACAAGAGGAGGCUGACAAAGAUCCUCUGCUUGGCCACACUUCUGCAGACUCCUGGACCCUCUCCUGGGCUUGCUGCUGCCCCACCUUGUAAACUUCAGUGCCUGGAGAGCACCCUGCUCAACAGUUUAGCAAGGACACCCCCUCCCCAGUAUCGGAUCAGGCUCCUCAUCCUCUGCCAUCCCUGGUGACAUCUGGCUACCCUGGCUGUCUCCAGAAGCAUCCUGUUUGGUGGGUUUAGCAAGGACAACCCUUCCCCAGCAUAUAGGGCCCUGAUUAAACCCUCUGCUUUAAUGGGUAAUUAUUUCCCUAAUGCUGCAAGGCAGGAGAUUGUCCGCAGACACCAGAAGCUGAAGAGGCAAGGAAGGACCCUCCCAACAGCUGUCAGAGGGAGAAUGGCCUUGCUGACCCCCUCAUUUGGGGAUUCUGGCCUCCAGAAUGGGGAGAUCGCAGGUUUGUGUUUUAAGUCACACUUAUUUCUGUGCUGUGUUUUGUUGGUCCUGGAAAUGGACCCACUGGCUCUCCCUGUGCUAAAGAUAUCUGCUCCUCCCAGUGCACCUUGCGAAUCACCUCAGCAUUAAGGAGACUGUUCUGAAUUUGAAGCUGAGGAGGCAUCCUGGAGCAGUUUGGCUUUGGUUAGGGGAGGGACCACGGAAAGUGGCCAAGGCAUUUGGAGGGCUGAGUUGAAAGACCACAGGGCAGGUCAGGGGCAUGUGGCAGGAAAGGAGCUGUGUCAGUUUUGAGCCCCUCAGUUCUCCUGUUCUGAGCUCAGGCCAUUCACCGCUGUGCCUGGGGACAUUUCUGUGUGACAGCUCUCAGCUCAGGGAUGAGCAUCAGAUCCAAGACCAGACUGUGCUCUUCCUCGGUGGGCAGCAAAGUCCAUGCCCUGAGCGUUGGGCAUUGCUCCCUUCCAACCCUCUUGUUCUUCUGAGGGAGACCUCAGCACAUUCUAGUCCUUCUAUGCUGGGGUGCAGAGUCCUGAUUCCAGCCCCUCCAGCAGCACAGGAAGGGGUGCAGUGACAGAGGGAGCGACACCUCUAUCCGGUGGCCUGGAUGGUCCCUCUGCCCUCCCUGAGCCAGGCUGGGCCUUGGCCUAUUGUGUGAAUGUUAAUAGAAAUACAGCAUCACUUCUUAAUAUUCUUAAAAGAAAAAGGUGUUUUUAGAAAAAAAAAAUUUCCAUAGAAGGAAAGUGAGGAUCUAGGAUUCGUCUGGAGGAGUGGGGUGCACUCCUUCACUGACUGGCACCCCAAGUGGACACACAAACACAAAUACAAGUGUAGACAUGUGUGUAGGUGCACACAUACAAGACACCCUCACAGCCUUCCCCAUCAACUCUGUUACACAUCCCCAUGACACACCCAUGCACCUCUGCGUGCCUUUACAUACGUACACCCACCCCCAUCCCUGUCUGGCUUGCACCUCUGAGGCUGCAGAUUGGAGGAAACUAGGAGAGGAGCCAGGAGAAGCCGAGGAGGAGCCUGGCAGCAGACAGAGGGAGCAUGUGGUCAUGCACAUCUUCUAGAGUUUUGCAGUUUCGCAUUGUAAACGCAAGUCUAUGGAGUAUUUUGACAGGUUCUGGGCUCCAGUUGUGUGCCUUCUUGAGGUGCGUCUGGAUCCUAGGUUCAGAAACAGCUUGCUGGGAAUUUCACUUGGAGUCACUGAAUCUGCAGAGGAGGUUCAUCUUAACGACACUGAGACCUGAACAAGGAAUAUCUCUGCAUUUAUUUAUAUUGCAUUUGAUUUCUUUCUACGUUUCAAGAUUUUCUGGAAGUAGGUACUUUAAUUUUGGGGGGUGCUAUUUUACAUGUGAACACAUUUAAAAUGCUCUUAUUCCAGUUUACACAUUCCACUCUUUCCUCUACAUGAUGCUACUAUAUAGGAAAUCAGUGGAAUUUUGCCUAGGGGCCAUGUACUUUGCAGCUUUCUAUCUCCAUCCAUUGUGCCCAAGACAUAGGAAGGGCU
Molecule: long non-coding RNA, 8327 nt
Filed under: Marmota monax (woodchuck)
Lineage: Eukaryota; Metazoa; Chordata; Mammalia; Rodentia; Sciuridae
Rfam family: tRNA (bases 5675-5744)
Source: RNAcentral